This 1712-nucleotide unclassified non-coding RNA is filed under the name uncultured fungus. RNAcentral's name for it is "sequence contains 18S rRNA gene, ITS1, 5.8S rRNA gene, ITS2, 28S rRNA gene". The stretch from base 660 to 1712 matches the Rfam family "Eukaryotic large subunit ribosomal RNA", at positions 1 to 961 of the family's 3401-position model. The record is from RNAcentral. Lineage: Eukaryota; Fungi.
GGAAGGAUCAUUAACAAAUCGUGCGGGUGCGGUGGUGCCACGUUACAGUGGUGCCAUCUCUUACACACACCCACAUACGCGCUCCGGCCCCUUUGGGGGCUGGAUGCACAUAUAUAUUCUUGUAUUAUCUUGUCAAAUAUCAGUCACAAUUAUACAAACCACUUUUAACAACGGAUCUCUAGGCUCUUGCAUCGAUGAAGAACGCAGUAAAGUGCGAAAAGUAAUGCGAAUUGCAUACUCUGCGAGUCAUCUAAUCUUUGAACGCAAAUGGCACUGUCAUGUCAAGUGACAGUAUGCCUGUUUGAGAACCAUAUAACCCAUCACCACUAGUUAGUGGUGGAUCUGUCGGGCACGAUGAGGUGCCGGACUAAAUGCAUGUACCCGGUGAGCGGUCACUGCGAUAUGAUAAUAUCUUUAUUGCAGUGUGCAGCUCGACGAGCCGGGUAGUCCGAAUGUGGGUGAGGAGGAGGAUGUGUGUGUGGUGUGUGGUGUGUCGUGCGGGGUCAUAGCAAUGUGGCACUGCAUGGUGCGCAUCACACAGCAGGUGUGCCGUGUGGGGUCAUAGCAAUGUGACACUGCAUGACACACACGCACAGCAGGUCAUAGCAAUGUGACACUGCAUCACAGCACAACCCCCUCCACCUCCAACCAAUAUACAAUGGUCUCAAAUCAGGCAAGGCUACCCGCUGAACUUAAGCAUAUCAGUAAGCGGAGGAAAAGAAACUAACAAGGAUUCCCCUAGUAACGGCGAGUGAAGUGGGAAUAGCUCAAAUUUAAAAUCUGGCCCCCGCGGCCCGAAUUGUAGUCUAAAGAGGUGCUAUCGCGAGCGACGCUGUGCACAAGUGUCCUGGAAUGGACCGUCACAGAGGGUGAGAACCCCGUUUGGGUACAGCGAAGCGAGCAUAUGAGGCACUCUCGAAGAGUCGAGUUGUUUGGGAAUGCAGCUCAAAAUGGGUGGUAAACUUCAUCCAAGGCUAAAUAUUGGCAAGAGACCGAUAGCGAACAAGUACCGUGAGGGAAAGAUGAAAAGCACCUUGAAAAGGGAGUUAAAUAGCGCGUGAAAUUGUUAAAAGGGAAACGAUUGAAGCUAGCAUUUGGUGUGCGAGUGGGGCAGUGUAGUGCGUGCGGUGUGGUGGUGACACUACGACGGCACGCAUGAAGCAGCCGCACUGUGCAUCAGAGUCAGGGCCGCUUCGGAGUGCCUUACAAGACUCGGGGAAGGUAGUCACUGCUCGCAGUGACCUUAUAGCCCCGAGGGAUGUGGUGCUCUGUAGGUGGUAGUGGGGGAAGGACUGGCGGACUGCGUGGGGCUGGUGUGCAGACUGCUUGCAGACUGCAUAACCACGCCCCGUGCACAAGGCCAUACGACCUCUGCAGGCCUGUCGGAAUGGCUUUAAACGACCCGUCUUGAAACACGGACCAAGGAGUCUAACAUGUAUGCGAGUGUUUGGGUGGCAAACUCGAACGCGCAAUGAAAGUGUAUACGUGGGAACACACAUCAGUGGGCACCAUGGACCGAUCUUGAUAUCUCUUGAUAGAUUCGAGUCAGAGCAUAAAUGUUGGGACCCGAAAGAUGGUGAACUAUGCCUGGAUAGGAUGAAGCCAGAGGAAACUCUGGUGGAGGUCCGCAGCCGUUCUGACGUGCAAAUCGAUGGUCAAAUCUGGGCAUAGGGGCGAAAGACUAAUCGAACCAUCUAGUAGCUGGUUCCCUC